Molecule: long non-coding RNA, 1294 nt
Organism: Denticeps clupeoides (denticle herring)
Lineage: Eukaryota; Metazoa; Chordata; Actinopteri; Clupeiformes; Denticipitidae
Source: Ensembl
UGAAGGCACUCCUGCCAAAAAAACAAAAAUGUCUGCCAGCACGAGAACUCCGCCAAGCGCGGGCUAGAGGCAGAACAACAUGCCCAGGCGAUGUCAGCAUUCGUGACGAGAAAUGCCACUGAGGCAGACCAGUGCAGAGGUAAAAAUGGCCAAAAACAACAUUCCUUUCUCCUUCCAUGAUGACUUCCACAAGUGUGUAGCUGACAUGUUCCACGAAAACAGUCAACGGGAAAAACGAAGGCUACUCAACUCAUCAAAGGUCCCUGUCUCACAAAGCCUGAAUGAAUAUGGUGGUCUUUCCUUCUGGCCUCUUGCUGCAUGGUCCAGGUUCACAUUUGCUUAGCUCUUGAUCACCUUCUGUUUACUUUCAUCCUGGUCUACUGGAAUCAAAAAAGAUUCACUUCUUCAGGUAUCCAGUAGUCACGUCCUCGAUUAGAGAAAGUGAGUAACGUGAAAAUUGUUUUGGAGAUGAAAAAGGGCUCAGAAGGUUAAGUAAAGUAUGAACAGAGUCUUUUAUUUACAGUGAGGGAUAUUAAAUAUCGAUUCUAUUGAUACCAAAUUGGAAUCAGUAUUAGAUCAAAAAUAUCACAAUGGUAUCAAUAUUUUCACUCUUAGUUUUGUUCCAUGCUCCAUCUGAAAAUAAAUGUGCCUGUAAAAAUACUCCCCUAGUUUAUUACCCAAGAAAAAAUACCCACUGUCCAACCCCACCAAGAAAAUCUGGACACACACUUUUUAUUUUGACUUUCCAAUCCCAUUUUUUUUAUCCUACUGAAGAGACUUUAUUUGAAAUAAAGUUUCCAGUUGUUUAUUACUGACUCUCAACAAAACUACAGGCAAAAGUAAGAAAUGAAUCAGAGUUGGUUCUUCUACUCAGAGGAACAUGUUGCUUAAAGUUCUACAAGCAGAACAGAGCCACCAAGACACAUCUUGUAUUAAACUCCCCGCUAAGUCCUCAUCUCGUACUGUGCGCUUGGUGUUGCCUUUCCAUCACUUCCGGGUUGUCGGCCCCUAAUCACAUUCCCUCCCUAGGAUCCUGCGCCACAGAUAGGGAUCCUCACCGUGUACCGAGCGUCAGGUGCGGCCUGGUAUGUUUAAGCGUUACCCCCAUUUAAGCUCGCAUUACCUGCAGUGUCCCCUGUGUCUGGCGUCCCUCCCAACAGCGUGGAAAAACCUAGUCGUCUUGAUAGUUUAAUAUUGAGGAAUAUGGCACAGUAAAGUCAGUACUUUACAGUUAUGUCAAAAUCUUUAUUUUUAUUGUUAUGUACGAACAAAAUUAAACGCAACAAGGUGGAAC